This 71-nucleotide transfer RNA is filed under the name Patescibacteria group bacterium. Its description in RNAcentral is "tRNA-Gly". It matches the Rfam family "tRNA". Rfam says of the family: Transfer RNA (tRNA) molecules are approximately 80 nucleotides in length. The record is from RNAcentral.
GCGGGUAUAGUUUAGUGGCAAAAUGACUGCUUCCCAAGCAGUAGAUCGGAGUUCGAUUCUCCGUACCCGCA